GGAGGGUUGGCCGAGUGGUUUAUGGCGCUGGUCCUGAAAACCAGUGGGUCUUAAAGCCCUCAGAGGUUCGAAUCCUCUACCCUCCG
This 86-nucleotide transfer RNA is filed under the name bacterium. RNAcentral's name for it is "tRNA-Ser". It matches the Rfam family "tRNA". Rfam says of the family: Transfer RNA (tRNA) molecules are approximately 80 nucleotides in length. Their secondary structure includes four short double-helical elements and three loops (D, anti-codon, and T loops). The record is from RNAcentral.